CAUAGCAGAACUAUAUAAAUAGAAACCAGGACAAAUGGGUUUCGCACAAACAAACAACACUGAGAUAGUAACGGUCUCCUUUUGGACACAAGGAAUGCUGUCGAUAAUCAGAAAAGUACUUCCACUACAGGAAAAACAUGUCUUUAAAUCUUGCGUGAUGUUUUUUUGACAUGUUUUGGUAAAAGACAUUCAUUAGGGUGUGUUCGGGUCAUAGAUUAUCAAUAGACUUCAAUAACUCGAUUAGUUUAUCAGAAAAAUCGAACCCUCACCUGUCAAACUGCAGGAUUUGUGCAAAACUUUUUGAGAAUUUACAAUUCUGGUAUUUAUUUGUGCGUCCACUACCAAAGUCACAGAUUAUCAAAGUAUUUAGUUAAUAAAAAAAGUGUGAUGCAUAUGUGCUAUUUUUCGGGAAAAAGAUGUUGCUUUUUCUGUGUGUGUUAGAGGAGGUGUCAGAGAUUAAACACACUCCUUCACACACACUCCCACACAAGGCAGCAGGGUGUUUUAUCUGGCCGUCGGGCCUCUAAGGGCGGGUCUGUGUGUUGAUGCAGCUGUGAGGCUCAUUGAGUUUUCUCUCUCCGAUGCUUAGAGAGUCUCACUGAGAAACAGAGAGAGAGCUGAAGGCUUCAGGUCACAGCAGUCAAGGGAGGACAAUCCCCGGAGUCCGAUGUCGUCACAGCGGGUGAAGGCAGAUGAAGGGGAGACAGACGCUGACUCUGAUGAUAUGUCAAUGUGAGGGGUCAAAGUGCAGCACUACCUCAUAUGUUUUGACUGGAACGUUUGAAACGAACAUAAAUAUCACAGCGGCAUCAUGGGUUUGUGCUGUUCUGAUAACGUACAGCACGUAUUGACGACCACCUCUCAUUCGAAAGGAUUGAUGUAAUCAAAAUGAUAGUGCAUAGUACAAAUACUGAAAGAGUGAGAAAAUGACAAAAUCUUUUGUUUUACAUGAACUCCUCUUGCACCAUAUAGCAAAAUGCUUAUAUUCCUUAUGGGUCGACGAUCAUAGCCUGACACUAAACGUGAUAUUUCUAUAGAGAGAUUUAGGCCUAUAAUGUCGCGCCAUAACAUGUCAAGCCAGUGCCACAGAGAUAAAAGAUGACAUCCUUCCUAAAUCAUUUCAGCUAGAAAUCAAAGCAUUGUAAUCCAAAGUAAACACGGAUAAUGUAUGGCGUGAUGCAUGCUCUUAUCUACAGAAAGCAGUUUCUUGUGACCGGUCUGUCCCCGUUAUAAGAUGCAUUCUCAGUAGGUGUCUAUUAGGAAUCGGUGGGCUUUAGAAUGUUUACCAACUUCCUGCUUUUCUCAGCGUUUCGAACACUUUAUGUUGACCCUUUCCUUAUCUCGUGCUGUAGGAUAACAUCUGGUCCCAACAGAUCUGAACAGGAAAUAUAUCUGAUUUCCCCCAUUCGUUGGUUCCCCCCGGUUUAAAACCCCCUCCUAAAAGAAGAAUUCCACAACAAUGAGGAAGUGAUGCACGUAUACGCAUCACUGGACAUUUAGUGAUAAAGUAAUAAUUUAACAAGACGCUCAGAAGAUGGAACAAACUUGUGUAAUCCAUGUCGUGCCAAAUACCUAGAAAUUUUCUAAAUCAUGUUUACCAUAACCAGACUAAAUGAAUCUUAAGGAAAAUUGUAUCAGCAACAAGUCACACAAAUCCAGACAACAUAGUCAACUGUUGUCUUUUAUUAUUGCAGGACAUCUAAUGUCAUCUGGACUAUCAUGACUGGUUAGCCUUUCAGAUGAAUCCAUCUUUCCAUCUCAAUGUUCUCACAUCAUUCCUCUGUUCCUUCCAGUCUAAAGCUGCAAGUUAUGAAUGCCAGACACGGGCUGUCACUCGAUGGCUAAGGGGAGUGAGACUGUGUGUUCAAAUAAUAUAGCGGACACAUAAUCCACAGCUAUACGUGACUUGGGGGGCAAUGGGUUUACUGCGAGGGUCAUAAAAGGGUGUUGAAUGAUGGGCUGAAUUCCAGACCUAACUUUCGGAAUUUGGUCGUAGGAGGAGAAAUGGAACUACGGUGGCUGACAGAGAACUAAAAUGUCAUUUUCGCUUCUUUGCUGAAGGAGAUAACGUAUUUACGAAACACGUUCUGUAGAGCAGUUUGUCCCUUUAUGGCCACUGUAGAAACAACAUGGAGAAUUCCAUGCAAGGGGACCCGCUGUGUUUGUAGAUGGAAAUAGUUCAUUCUAAGAUUAUAAAAAUAUAACGUCUUUAUACACCUCUGAAGACAUUUGUGUAUAUUAUAUUGCAUUCUUCUGACAAUAAAUCCUCCAAAUAUGACACACAGCAUGUUUUUAAAGAGAUUUAUCAAACUGUGUUCAAAUUGGCCAAGACACUAAAUUCUGCAUUGAAAAGUCCAAGAUUUCUCAUCAAUUCCUCUAAAUCAAGUUCAAUGUUAUAACUUUAUAAUCUUACUGUAUGCCAACAAAUGUCUUAUUCGUGACAAAAGAUGUUUGACGUGCACGUUUGUCAAAUGUUCCUAAAAUGAUUCUCAUGAGGAUUUUUAGGGAAAACUUUUGAGACAGCGUACAUAUUUUAAUUAAUUAAAAAUGACUAAGACUCACACAGACACGUAUGUGCAACCUCUGAGCAAUAACAUAUUUCUUUGGGUGAGCACAUACGUGACAAACAUUAUUUGUAUGUCAUUUGUAGACACAUAGACAAAACGUGCAUUUCAGAAACUGCGUAUAGCAUUAGAGUCGAGUUGCCAACACUGGAAACCGCACGUUCAUAUAUCUUCAUUUAUUGAAAGUACCUCCCAACAUGCCUGACUGAGCUCAUUCCAAAAGAGCCUGUGAAGAGGUGUUUCGGGAGACUGGGCGUGGACAAACUCGUAAUUCCCUGCCAUAUGACAGCGGUAUAGUUUAAGAAUAUUAGAGGAUCGUAAUGUUUUACUGCAGCUCUGAGAUUCGAGCAUGCUAUCAGUUAUCACAUGCAAAGUUUGCACCUGUUGGCUAAAACAUGCAUGACCACUCUCCACAACAAGUGCAUUCAGAAAUAUGUAGAAUUAAGCACGCUUGUACAUUUAGAUUACCAUUCAAGAUGUGCCUAUUAUUAGGGAAAACAUAUGUGUGUGUAUUUAAAUACAUAUAUACAAAGACCUCACAAACACUGUUACCUAUGAACACUAAAGAUCAGCAGCACUAUGACGAAAACAACGAUUACAGCAAUUGCUCUAUAGGCAUGUUGUUAAAACUCUUGAGACCAUUUUGAACAACAACUUACGAACUGAGACCACGUGAACGAGCAUCUGCCAAAAGAAUGUGGAAAACAUCUCUCUCUUCCAUUCUACCAUGAUGCAAUGCACACGAUUUCAUUUCCUGUUCUCUGCAACGCACCCAAGUCAAGCGUCACUUUAGCUCAAAUCUUAACAUGAUCCAACAUUCCAGUCUAUUGUAAUCAUAAAAUUGACUCUCUCUAUAUUAGCACUGACUUGACUACAUCCAAAUGGGGUAAAAGUGUUUUGGUAAAAGAAGCCGCAUUUAAUUAUUAAUAAUUAUGUCAUGAUAAUAUAAUUAAUUGCAUCAUUUAAUUUAUAUUAGUGUUAUUUUCAGCUCAUUGAAGCGACAAAAAUGUCUUGCCCUUACUUAACCUCAGCACAGGGCCUUGAAAGAAUAAUGUGCAUCAAUUUGUAUUAAAAGCUAAAUAUGUCGUGAGCAGUUUAAACAGGUGGGGUGGUCCUUUAAUGUAUAGGGUCCAGAGUGAACUCAAAACAUUUCCAUCACAGUCUAUGAAUGUUAUCUGAUCCAUUAGCCUGUUGUGAUUUUAUUGGGCAAAUGUCGCCCUCUGCUGCGAUAAAGAGGGAAUUACCCAUUACGAAACAAUCAUGUUUAACUACACUAAGCAUUUUAAAUUUGGCAUUGUAGUAAAACUUUAACCAAACCAUAACCAAUAAUAUGCUUACUAUACUUUAACUAUGUACAAAAAAACAAGGUUCGUUUUAUAAGGAUCGUACUGUAAGUAAUCCUAUAUCUGGCAAUAUCUAUUUUAAUAUAUUUAUUUUCAAUAAAAUUUGUAAAAUGCAGCUUGAACAAAGAUUGUAUUAUUUAUCAAAAAAACAAAACAAAUUUUUUAACUAUAUGAGUUUAAUUGUCACCCAUGUAGUAUGUAUACCAUGAGGGUGUGACGUGCCGCACUGUAGCAAAACCAGCGUCUUCCUCAGAAACGAGAAUCACCAGAACAUUCCAGAUCGAGGCAAGAUGAGUUAAAAGACAUCAUUUGAGGUUUAAUUUUAAAGAUGUGCUUUAUAUUUGAUGAUAUAUGUAGCUCAACGAGGCAUGGGAGAAAGCGGCUACCAUCGCGCGCGCGCAAGUUGAUUCACAAAAACUUCCGGUUUAAUCGUGCUGUAUAAUCUUGCUUGAUUUAUCAUGUUAUAAUCGCAUCAAUAUUAUUAUCAAACAGUCAUUUAUAGGUUCGCACACCUCUGUUUUUACGAAAACGUCGCAUUUCGUGUCACCCAACGAUUUAAAGCGGCCCGACACACAGGCGGGUGUCGCCCAAAGCAAACUUUUUUUGGUGAGCAAUACUUGUUAACCAGAGGCGGCAAAAUUUUGUCGAAAUUGCCCUGCGACAUGUGAUUCGGUCGAGUGUUUGUAAACAUGCGUCAAAAGCAUGUGAUUCUGCUGACGAAACACUGCGUUCUGGACCGCCGGCCAAUCAGAAAACGGGGGUGUGUGCGGAUGGGCGGGGCUGCGCUGUGGAAAAUUCUAUGCGCUCGGCAACAAGGUGCGUUAUAGACGAUUUAAAGAUGAUAAAAGGAGUUCGUCCACCGCACGCGCUCGUCAUGUGGUAGUGCACUCAACGAUACGGCUGUUCAGUGGAUCCAGGACGGACCGAGACCAUAACACCAUAAAGUUGUGAAUCUGCAGUUUAAAUCUUCUACGGCUGUCCAAACCAAACAAGCAGACGAAAGAGCGAUUCUGCUGUUGCAACAAGAUGAAAAUAGAGCGAGCGGGAGAGGGUGGAGGACCGGUGGAGAGAGAGAGCAAGAGAGAAAGGGAGAGAGAUUUUGGAUUAGUUGCUACGUCACUUUUUCACGUCGAGAGGAAAACAGCAGCUUGGAGGAGAGGAUUCGGACAUGUGCGAUUUCUCCUACCUGUUAAAGGCAGGGAUGAGGCAAACAUGCAGGCGGGAGAAAGCGAGAGGGGCAACCAGAUACCUCUAAACAGCAACCGUCGCCAUGCUCCUCUGCGCUCGGCUGGGAAACUCCCACGGGUGCUGUCCUAUCAGUCAGAUAAGAGCUAGCGAGCUCCUGGGGCAUGUUUCUUCCCUCUGUCAUAGAGCUCAAAGUAAACAAUAUCAAACUAAAGGUCGAACAAUAAUCGGUGAAGUGCAGUUCUCUGGAAAGCAGUCUUUAGGAAUGGAGUUGAAUGUAAUAUACAUGUUAAGGACAGUUGUGAUCACACAAAACGUUUGGCACUGAUGACCGGAUACACAGAGAACAAUGAUAUUUGUUUUAAUAUUUCUUAAUCUGUGUCUUGUCUUGUUUUUUGUUGUUGCCGUAAAAUCUUGUAAAGUUAAAUCAUGAAUGUGACAUUUGAUGCGUCUUCAUAGAUUUUUUUCCGGACCAACUUCAUUCAUGUGAGUGACCCUGGAUUGGUUCUUGUCUUGUGUAGCACUUUAAUUUUUUUAGUAAAAGACAAAAAAACAUUGUACGGGUUAAAAUUAUUGAUUUUUCUUUUGUGCCAAAGAUCAUUAGGAUAUUAUGUAAAGAUCUUUUGUAAAUUUCCUUAUUUAAAUAUAUAAAACUUUGUUUUUGUGAGUG
This is a long non-coding RNA of Triplophysa dalaica, 5762 nucleotides long. RefSeq lists it as uncharacterized. The transcript has 5 exons. The record is from RefSeq and is a predicted model, not a curated record. Lineage: Eukaryota; Metazoa; Chordata; Actinopteri; Cypriniformes; Nemacheilidae.